UAGGGANUCUUCGGCAAUGGGGGCAACCCUGACCGAGCAACGCCGCGUGAGUGAAGAAGGUUUUCGGAUCGUAAAGCUCUGUUGUAAGUCAAGAACGAGUGUGAGAGUGGAAAGUUCACACUGUGACGGUAGCUUACCAGAAAGGGACGGCUAACUACGUGCCAGCAGCCGCGGUAAUACGUAGGUCCCGAGCGUUGUCCGGAUUUAUUGGGCGUAAAGCGAGCGCAGGCGGUUUGAUAAGUCUGAAGUUAAAGGCUGUGGCUCAACCAUAGUUCGCUUUGGAAACUGUCAAACUUGAGUGCAGAAGGGGAGAGUGGAAUUCCAUGUGUAGCGGUGAAAUGCGUAGAUAUAUGGAGGAACACCGGUGGCGAAAGCGGCUCUCUGGUCUGUAACUGACGCUGAGGCUCGAAAGCGUGGGGAGCGAACAGGAUUAGAUACCCUGGUAGUCCACGCCGUAAACGAUGAGUGCUAGGUGUUGGAUCCUUUCCGGGAUUCAGUGCCGCAGCUAACGCAUUAAGCACUCCGCCUGGGGAGUACGACCGCAAGGUUG
RNAcentral lists this ribosomal RNA (550 nucleotides) under uncultured bacterium. RNAcentral's name for it is "bacterial SSU rRNA". It matches the Rfam family "Bacterial small subunit ribosomal RNA", at positions 355 to 896 of the family's 1533-position model. The record is from RNAcentral.